GUGCCAGCAGCCGCGGUAAUACGUAGGUGGCAAGCGUUGUCCGGAUUUACUGGGCGUAAAGAGCGCGCAGGCGGUCGUGCAAGUCGCGUGUGAAAGCCCCCGGCUCAACUGGGGAGGGUCACGCGAUACUGCUCGACUCGAAGGCAGGAGAGGGUAGCAGAAUUCACGGUGUAGCAGUGAAAUGCGUAGAUAUCGUGAGGAAUACCAGAGGCGAAGGCGGCUACCUGGACAAUUGCUGACGCUCAGGCGCGAAAGCGUGGGGAGCGAACAGGAUUAGAUACCCUGGUAGUCC
Molecule: ribosomal RNA, 292 nt
Filed under: uncultured bacterium
Lineage: Bacteria
Description: partial 16S ribosomal RNA
Rfam family: Bacterial small subunit ribosomal RNA
Source: RNAcentral